Triticum aestivum (bread wheat) is the source of this 664-nucleotide long non-coding RNA. RefSeq lists it as uncharacterized. The transcript has 3 exons. Lineage: Eukaryota; Viridiplantae; Streptophyta; Magnoliopsida; Poales; Poaceae. The record is from RefSeq and is a predicted model, not a curated record.
GUGGUUCGAAACGGCACAGGUGAAAGAAUCCCAUGCGCCUACAUUACCCCACCCCCCACUCCUGGACAGCUUUCCCCUCCCCAUCCCCUUCUCUUCCACAGACCCGGAGUGCGGCGGCUCUGCUCCGGCGAUCUGUCCAUCGACGGCCUCGAGAUCGAUGGGGUCCUUGCCGUGCCGGCUGGAUGGAGUGGUUCUGUCCUCCAAGCGGAGUCCCAGGAUUCCAUGGGUGCAGCAGAUGCGGCCGACAAAGCACAGGCAGACGGAGGUGCGGCCAUAUAGGAGGUGUGUUCUGAAGCUACGAGUGGCUGGACACGAAGGGUUAGGAUGGGGAAAGCUCCUGACGAGAGGGAGAUGAAGCCUGACAAGAGAACAGCACUGGAAUUGUCUGUGCGCGCUUAUGCCGAGAAAGGAGCUGGUCAUGUUGUCAAUCCAGCAAUUGGCACAUCUUUUAACUCGUUAGAUGAGGCUUAUGAGUUCUACAACCUUUAUUGGAAUGUGGUUUUGGAGUUCGGCUAUGUUGCUCGGAAAAGGUGCAUGCAAGAGAUUGUUUGUGAUUGUGCGGUAGGUGAUCGCAAAGUGCAUUAUGUUUGAUGCCAUAAUGUUUGAUGGACUGUUUGAGCCUAACUUCCUCUAGAUUAAAUUAGUUGUGACUUGUGAGGUUUGA